CAGAUGUGAAAGCCCGGGGCUCAACCUCGGAAUUUGCAUUUUGAAAACUGGCAAACUAGAGUACUGUAGAGGGGGGUAGAAUUUCAGGUGUAGCGGUGAAAUGCGUAGAGAUCUGAAGGAAUACCGGUGGCGAAGGCGGCCCCCUGGACAGAUACUGACACUCAGAUGCGAAAGCGUGGGGAGCAAACAGGAUUAGAUACCCUGGUAG
RNAcentral lists this ribosomal RNA (208 nucleotides) under uncultured bacterium. RNAcentral describes it as "partial 16S ribosomal RNA". It matches the Rfam family "Bacterial small subunit ribosomal RNA", at positions 589 to 793 of the family's 1533-position model. The record is from RNAcentral.